UUGAACGGCUGAAAUUUUGGGGGAUUUCCGUAUACAGUUGUUCAACGCGGAGUGCAAAACACAGUUAGCCCAGGAGUUUUGACUUGUGUUGGCUUUCUGAGAAGUUCGAAGCUAUGAAAGGAAUUACUGUGCUUCUUUUUCUGUUACAGGCUACAGCUGUAAAGACAGGGUCACACUCUCUCUGGGCAUUUGCAACAUUUAUACACGGACAGACCCAAUUACCAGAAUUCAGUGUAGUGGUUAUGCUAGAUGAUCUUCAGGUGCUCUACUAUGACUGCAACAUAAAAAAACUGAUCUCUCGAAGCCAACCAAGCUCAACAAAUGAAGAUUUUAUCCUUGAAGGUGCAAACAUUGUGAUGCAAGACGCUUAUAAUUCCAUGAGAAGUCUUGCACGUCAUGUAAACCUCUUCUCCAAUCACACUGGAGGAGUUCAUGUUCAUCAGGGGAUGGGUGGAUGUGUGCUGGACAAUGACAAGCCCAGCCCGAUCAUGGUGUGGGAAGCUUAUGAUGGAACAGAACUGACUCAUUACGACAUGCAUGAUCGCACAGUCAACCCUCUAUGGCCACAGCUUAUGUGGACCACACUGAAAGAAAAAACCUGUCAAAUGAUAUAUAUAAAUAUUUAUCAGCCUAUUUGUAUCCAAACACUGAAGUACUAUCUGGAGAAAGAGAAGAACAUUGUGUUAA
This is a long non-coding RNA of Conger conger (European conger), 687 nucleotides long. RefSeq lists it as uncharacterized. The record is from RefSeq and is a predicted model, not a curated record. The transcript is spliced from 3 exons. NCBI's taxonomy places the organism in Eukaryota, Metazoa, Chordata, Actinopteri, Anguilliformes, Congridae.